This is a non-coding RNA of Thamnophis sirtalis, 2930 nucleotides long. The record is from RefSeq and is a predicted model, not a curated record. Lineage: Eukaryota; Metazoa; Chordata; Lepidosauria; Squamata; Natricidae.
UGCCUAAGGCAGCACUAGAACUCCCAGUCUCCUUGUGACUUGUCCCUAAGUCACCCAACCGACUUUCAUGCCUAAGGCAGGACUAGAACUCUCAGUCUCCUAGUGAUUGGCUCAAAGUCACCCAGCUGGCUUUCGUGCAGUGGUCAUUUCUCUUGUUCCAAUGACAAAACUUUUAAGCUUCGAUUAGUGACGUUCUGGGUGUCUCUUUUUCCCCCAGUCUGAGGAAGAAUCCUGCUGAACGAAUGAGCUACUUAGAGAUGAUGGAUCAUCCCUUCUUCACUCUCCACGACACCAAAGUGACCGAGAUGGCUUCUUUCGUCACGGAAAUCCUCGGGGAAGACUCUUAAAAUUUCUCCCCCACCGUCUCUCCCUCCCUCCCCUCCCCUCCCCACUCCCGACCUCGCCCAUCGUGCCAAAUAAACUGGAGUAGCAUCGCCUUCCUUUCUCCCGGCGGGAAGAACUGAGGCAGUUUGGAAAAUUUCUUCGCGUUACCGGCGGUUUGCACAAAACAGAUCGAAUGUCUUUCGUCGGCCACGUCGCUCAGCCCCCCAUUGAACCUCCUCUUCCACGUCUUCAAAAGAGAGAGAGAGAGGGGUGGGUGUGGCGGCUGGGGUAGCCCCCCCCACUUGUCUGCGCGAAGAAAUCUUAAUUUCGGAGCGCCGUUCGCGGGGACCUGACGUCGGUCCAUGAAAACACUUCACUGCCCUUCCUAGCUGCCGAGGUUGAAUUUUCGCGUGUUCCCCGUAGUAAAUCUCCCCCCCACCCCUUCCUCAAAAAACAACAACACCCCUCUGCAACCGUGGACAUUCAGAAUUUUUCUAGACAAUGCAAAACUUUCCAUCCCCCAUCAAGAGAUACCCACGGAUGACGCUGCUAAGAAGAAGAUUUAUGUCGGCUUUUGAACGCUUUGCAAUUUCCUCUCCCCUCCCCCCCCAAAUUUUUUUUGUCUGUAGAAAACCGAGAAGGUUUUAGUAGUUUCUGGAAGUAGGUGUUCUGUCUUUUUUGCGAUUCUCUUUCUCUUUUUUUCAAAACUCUGCAGUUUUUAAAGUUUUCCCUCGAUUUUAGCAAAAUUUAAGAUGGCGGAGGAUUUUCAAUGCCCAGAGUUCUUCAAAAGCACGCUGCUGGCCUGGGUGGGGGGAGUUCUGGGAGAUGAAGUCCACAGAUUAUAAUGCUAAAAAGCUAUUCUGGAGGAAAAAAAUUCCCAUUUCCCUCCCCUUCCCUCCAAAAAAAAACCCCCCUUCUGGAAAGAUUUUACAGCCCAAUUUUAUGGCUCCUGUCGCUGGAUUACAAAGUUCCUACCCACCCUCAUUUUGUCGCCUCUUUCCAAUGUUUCCCGCAACAAAAUUCGUAUACGACGAUGACAUUUGCUGCUUUCGGUUUUGGCAACCCCGAAGAUCACACGUCUUUUCAAAACUCCCUUGUGCUUUUUCAACAUUCAGAUGUUUUGAUGUACGUUUUCACCUUUUAAAAGAAGCCCCUAACCCCAAAACGUUCAGCUAUUGUGCGGGGGUCUCGUCUCUGGAUACAUCGCUGGAGGUAGAAAAUGUUAAUUAAAAAAUGAUGUAGCCCCCCCCCCCUCUCCCCAUUGGGUUUCAAGAGAUGGAUUUAGGUGGCGUGCUUGAACUGCAAUGAAAUUGGGAAGAAUUGUUGAUGCGGGGAGUUGAUUCCUCAAAUCUCGUCCUUUGCUGGACUGUUGGAAGUAGGAAGUUCACCUAGAAGUUGAAGGAUCUACCUUACCUUAAGUUCAGAUUCCCCACCACUCCUUAGCUGCAAGACGGGUCCAUCAGAAGCUCACCUCCCUGUCCACCGGCCCUCCACGAAAUCUAGGUUCUACACACUUUUGUUCUUCAAAAGUUUAGCCUGCUGUGUGAACUCAACGGUGAAUGAAUUGUCCAUGGUUACCUUCACCAAGUCCAAGCUUUCAACCAUCACAUUGAAGCUGAUGAGAUUCUGACCCAAGAUCUAUCCAUCAUGGUUUAGGAGCUACAAGACCUGGAUUCACACCCGUGCACCGCAACUUGGCUUGUGCGUGGAGUUGGCCAUGCAAGAAGCAUGGUGAUUGAUGGCUUUUUCUGCCUGAUGGAGAACAUCUGGAUUGAUGUGCUUCUUGCACCGAGCCCAUUUCUGUUGGAUAAUCUAUAUUUUUUCUUCUGCAGGGGAUAAAAAAAACAAACCCCUAGGAACAUUGGUGUGUGAAUGAUUCUUAAAAGAGGGAACCAAAUGAAAUAUUUUUUCCUCACCUCCGAAGAUCUCUAAACAAUGUAGAGAAUUCUUCCAUUUUGAUAGAUUUGCUUGUAGGAAAAUGUUCUCUUCCCUACCGCUACCCAAAAGCAAAUAUUACCAGUGGCUUAAUUCACACUUUUUGUUUUACGAUAAAUUCUUUCCCAUCCUCUCCUAGCCCCCCCACAAAAUGAAAUUAUCUUUAAGUGUGUGUACAUGUUUGUGUAAAGGACGAAUAGAUGCAGAAGAGGCUUGGAGGAAGCACCAGCAUGUGCAAUGUGCAGGAGAAUGUUAAAACGCAGAAUCAAAAGAAAAAGGGGGAAGUCCAUUUUAAGGACAUUGGAAAGGGUUGCAUUAUGUCAGAAGUGUAUGAAUCAGAUGCUGAACAACAUUUAUUUUAUUCAUCCGGUCUGAAGAAAUAGCCUUAGUCAUCUCAAGCUACGACUCGAUCUCCACUCAUAGCCAUUUUCACUGGAGGUUGAAUGCGUUGCUAGUCCCUGUUGGUCCCUUAAACUAUCUCAGCCUUGGGGGAUGUAAGGGAUGGGACUUGAUCCCUCCUUCUGCAAAGAUGAUUUUAAGAAUAAGUUUCCCAAAUUUCGUCAGCUUUGAAAGAGGCUGGUGAUCUGUCACCCCAAUACUAACCAAACCGAAAUAAUAUAAUGUUUUCCAGGUCCAGCUGUCGGUCAGUUGCCUGCUUCUAAGGGUUUUUU